This 503-nucleotide ribosomal RNA is filed under the name uncultured bacterium. RNAcentral describes it as "partial 16S ribosomal RNA". It matches the Rfam family "Bacterial small subunit ribosomal RNA", at positions 30 to 523 of the family's 1533-position model. The record is from RNAcentral.
AUUGAACGCUGGCGGCAGGCUUAACACAUGCAAGUCGAGCGGGGUGAUGGUGCUUGCACUAUCACUUAGCGGCGGACGGGUGAGUAAUGCUUAGGAAUCUGCCUAUUAGUGGGGGACAACAUCUCGAAAGGGAUGCUAAUACCGCAUACGUCCUACGGGAGAAAGCAGGGGAUCACUUGUGACCUUGCGCUACUAGAUGAGCCUAAGGCGGAUUAGCUAGUUGGUGGGGUAAAGGCCUACCAAGGAGACGAUCUGUAGCGGGUCUGAGAGGAUGAUCCGCCACACUGGGACUGAGACACGGCCCAGACUCCUACGGGAGGCAGCAGUGGGGAAUAUUGGACAAUGGGGGGAACCCUGAUCCAGCCAUGCCGCGUGUGUGAAGAAGGCCUUAUGGUUGUAAAGCACUUUAAGCGAGGAGGAGGCUCUUUUGGUUAAUACCCAAGAUGAGUGGACGUUACUCGCAGAAUAAGCACCGGCUAACUCUGUGCCAGCCGCCGCCGUAA